Molecule: RNA transcript, 2636 nt
Organism: Triplophysa dalaica
Lineage: Eukaryota; Metazoa; Chordata; Actinopteri; Cypriniformes; Nemacheilidae
Gene name: gastrula zinc finger protein XlCGF49.1-like
Exons: 3
Source: RefSeq, a predicted model, not a curated record
UCGGUUCCGGUGUCUUCCACUGGUCUCGCAUUCUGUGUGCAAUCCAGUCGUUGAUGAGAUCAGUGUUUGAUACGCGCUCCGAAAAACUGAUGCGCAUAAAAGAUUUGUUAAGGAUUCAAAUCGUGUUGUAUAGCACCACCUGCAGGUUGCAACGACCCGUAGACCACUUGGAUACACUUCCGAACAUUGCGCUGAAGUCCAUUCACUUUAGCGUUACAAGAACACACUCGAAGGUCUGUUCCACCACACAGUGAUGUUCAGUGAAGCCGGGCACAAGAAAAUACAGGAGUAAUUCCUAAAAUCCUGCAAACAACGGGGCCUCUGAAAGUGAAUGAAGUUGAGUCUUCAGUGUCAGAAACAUCAGAAGCUUUUAAUGCUAGAAAUGUCUUCUAGUAGUGUGCAGAAGAACAAUAUUUUCUCUCCAAAAGCAAACCGCAGUACCAAAGGAGGCAAGUCUUUCACCUGCCCUCAUUGUGGAAAGUGUUUCAAACACAUAGGUCAUUUUGAGGACCACAUGAAAGUUCACACUGGAGAGCGCCCAUUCACAUGUUCUCAGUGUGGAAAGGGUUUUAAACGCAGAUGUCAUUUUGUGGAGCACAUGAAAGUUCACACCGGAUCACGGCCAUUCACAUGUACUCAGUGUGGAAAUUGUUUCAAACGCAAAAGUCAUUUUGAGGAACACAUGAAAAUUCACACUGGAGAGCGCCCAUUCACGUGUUCUCAGUGUGGAAAGGGUUUCAAACGCAGAUGUCAUUUUAAGGACCACAUGAGAAUUCACACUGGAGAGCACCCAUACAGGUGUCCUCAGUGUGAAAAGAGUUUUAAACACAAAAAUCAUCUUGAGGACCACAUAAGAAUUCAUACUGGAGAGCGCCCGUUCACAUGUCCUCAGUGUGAAAAGAGUUUCAAACAGAAAAAUCAUCUUGAUGACCACAUAAGAAUUCACACUGGAGAGCGCCCGUUCACAUGUCCUCAGUGUGAAAAGAGUUUCACACAGAAAAAUCAUCUUAAGAAUCAUAUGAGAAUUCACACUGGAGAACCAACACAGUCUCACCAGAGUUUAUGAAGUCGUGCUGAGGGACAUGAUUUCCCCCCUUUCUUUCUCAAUGUACACAAAUCAUUAAAUGCUAAAUUUCGUGCCUAUGCCAUGAACUGCCUCAGACUUUCAAACAGAUAUUAAAUCUUGAGGGGACAUACGUAAAAUCACACAGAAUUUUCAGAAAACAAGUCUUGAGAUGCACCUGUGUACACACACUGGAGAGCGUCCAUGAACAUGUGUUCAUUUGAAUUUGAUGGUGAAGAUGGUGACAUUAUUUCUUCACUGUUCCUUGUUUAGCUAAUGUAUAUUUGUGAGGGUCCUCAGUAACAUGGUGAACAGCCAUUACAACCCACUUGUUGUUGACAUUUUACUGUUCCUCACAUAACAUAUUCUGCUUGUAAAAAUGCUAUUACAGAUAUCAAGAAAUUUUUUAAUUUUCAUAAAAAUCAUAUUCAUGUGGGAAAUAGAAAUGAGUGGCGGCAAGGACAAGGAAACUGUAUUCCUUCAACAUACUAUGAUUUAGGAAAUACCCCUUAUAAUUUCCAAUAAUGUGUAAGACAGGUAGAAUGCAAGUGGUUAUGCAGGAUCAGAGUUUAUAGGAUGAACUUAAGUCAGCUGUUCUUUAACUGAAAACUCAGACUAUGCGGCCCAAUUUGCAUAUUAUGUGUCCUAAUUAGAAUUUUAACUUUAUUGACACCUUUUUUUAAGAAGCUAAUAAGUUAAAAGUUGUAUUUAUUUAUUUUGCAGACCUGUUCCACCAUACCACACAGUGACGUUCAGUGAAGCCAUUAACAAGUAACCGAACACUUCAUUCAAAAGUACCAGUAGAGCAAAUCCAGUGUGACAGUUUAAAAAAAAAACUUAAAUGAAAGUUGGAGACAUGAUUGAGCCAACCCCCUGCAGAAUGCAACAUGAAGAUAUUGACAAACAAAUAGAUAUGUUAAAUGAAGAAAGUGAUGAAAUGAAUGAAGAGGAGAAACAACAGGGUCAGACACCUCAGAAAUUAAUAGCUUUCACCUGCCCUCAGUGUGAAAAGUGUUUCAAACGUGGAAAUAGUUUUAAACGCAGAAGUCAUUUUGACGACCACAUGAGAAUACACACUGGAGAGCGUCCAUACACAUGUACUCAGUGUGGAAAGAGUUUUAAACAGAAAACAAGUCUUGAGAUGCACAUGAGAAUUCACACUGGAGAGCGCCCAUACACGUGUCCUCAGUGUGAAAAGGGUUUCAAACACAAAAAUCAUCUUGAGGACCACAUAAGAAUUCACACUGGAGAGCGCCCAUACACAUGUCCUCAGUGUAAAAAGAGUUUCACACAGAAAAAUCAUCUUAAGGUGCACGUGAAAAUUCACACUGGAGAACCAACACAUUCUUACCAGAGUUCGUGACAUUGUCACCAACUAUAAUCCAUCAAUUCAUGUUAAUGGACACAAAUAUCUGUUUCGUGUCAGUCAGCGCAACUUUCAGUCCAUCGUAUUUUAAUGCGUUGUAUCUUUAAUUUGUAUAAAUAUUUAUCAAUAGAAUAGGAAUUUCUACCUAUUUUACUAUUCUGCUUGUAAAAAUGCGAAGAUAUCAAGAAAAAGUUUUUUACAGUCAAA